CACGUAGGGCGCAAGCGUUGUCCGGAAUUAUUGGGCGUAAAGAGCUCGUAGGCGGUCUGUUGCGUCCGCUGUGAAAACUCGGGGCUUAACCCCGAGCCUGCAGUGGAUACGGGCAGACUAGAGGUAGGUAGGGGAGAAUGGAAUUCCCGGUGUAGCGGUGAAAUGCGCAGAUAUCAGGAGGAACACCGGUGGCGAAGGCGGGACUCUGGGCCGAUACUGACGCUGAGGAGCGAAAGCGUGGGGAGCAAACAGG
This 253-nucleotide ribosomal RNA is filed under the name uncultured bacterium. Its description in RNAcentral is "partial 16S ribosomal RNA". It matches the Rfam family "Bacterial small subunit ribosomal RNA", at positions 524 to 776 of the family's 1533-position model. The record is from RNAcentral.